GACUCCUACGGGAGCCGGACUCCGUCCACGACCCCAACUGCAGGUAGACUUCGUCCGGACUCCUACGGGAGCCGGACUCCGUCGACGACUUCAACUGCAAGUAGACUCCACCCGGACUCCUACGGGAGCCGGGCUCCGUCCUAAACAUCAACUGCCGGUAAGCCUUGUCCGGACUCCUACGGGAGCCGAACUUCGCCUUUGACUUCAAUUGCAGGAAGACUCCGCCCGGACUCCUAUGGGAGCCGGGCUCCGUCCUCAACAUCAACUGCCGGUAAGCCUUGUCCAGACUCCUACGGGAGCCAGACUUCGCCUUUGACUUCAACUGCAGGAAGACUCCGCCCGGACUCCUACGGGAGCCGGACUUCGUCCUCGACUCCAACGGCUGCAGACAGACUUCGUCCGGACUCCUACGGGAGUCGGACUCCAUCCUCGACUCCAAUGGCUGCAGACAGACUUCGUCCGGACUCCUACGGGAGCCGGACUCCAUCCUCGACUCCAACAGCUGCAGAUAGACUUCGUCCGGACUCCUACGGGAGUCGGACUCCGUCCACGACCCCAACUGCAGGUAGACUUCGUCCGGACUCCUACGGAAGCUAGACUCCGUCUUCUAUUCCGACUGCGGGAAGACCUCGCCCAAACUCCUACGGGUAUGAAAUCUCGCUACCGACUCUAACCGAACUCUGGCCGACCAGUCUGGACCCCCUGGCAGGCCACGGUAACGGACAACACUGCUCCACUCCCUGCGGCGAACCCUACGCAGCUCCAUUACUCCCUGACAGGCCGUAUUAACGGCCACGAUUCUGCUCC
Molecule: long non-coding RNA, 807 nt
Filed under: Elaeis guineensis (African oil palm)
Lineage: Eukaryota; Viridiplantae; Streptophyta; Magnoliopsida; Arecales; Arecaceae
Description: long non-coding RNA (EGUI_LNC037114)
Source: RNAcentral